This is a non-coding RNA of Pogona vitticeps (central bearded dragon), 1065 nucleotides long. The record is from RefSeq and is a predicted model, not a curated record. NCBI's taxonomy places the organism in Eukaryota, Metazoa, Chordata, Lepidosauria, Squamata, Agamidae.
AUAUGACAAACUUUUAUCUUUGUUUUUGUUACCUCAAUGAAGCUGGUUUUGUUUAUCACAGUAGUGAAAGUCCAGCUUAUUUUUUUUUAAGUCAGAGGAAUAACGUAAUGUUGAUAGCUAUAAAUUGACUUAGCACUUAGUUUCUCUGUGUUGUAGCACUGUGGCUUUGAUGUGACAAGUGAAAUGCCCAAAUAAUCUCAGAAUUCCAAAAACUGGCCAGGAUAUCAACAGGACUGCCUGUGCCUCACAUGUAAGAAGUAACAGUCCAGGAUCCCAAAACAGAUGUCAUGACAUAAUUACACAAAAGUCACACUUCAUAUUUCAGUUUAAAGCAGAAAGAUGCACUUUGGAGCUCAAAAGUAACACAGCUGCUUUAAAACUCACAUGGUCUGUCGUGUCAACAAUUUCAGCUAGCCUUCCAGGAGUCACCACACCAAGUCACGUGCAGAACCCGUUGGUUACGUUGGGGGUGCUGUUGGUAAGUGCACUGGCAUCUAGCAACACCUGUGCGGAGGAGGCAUGGUCUGAGUGGGAAAAUCGGGAGCCCUGGGUUGCUUCUGAGGAAGGACAAGAGCAAGCAAUAGGAGACAUCCCUUGGCUGAUUAUGAGGAAGGACAAGAGGACAAUUUCUCAGAAGUGGGCAUCAAGCCUGAUGCCAAGAUCCACAGAUGUUGGAUUAUGCUUGAAUAUCUCAUGCUUAUCUGAGUGAUUCUGAACUACAGCUGGCAAAAUUAAGAAUCCCAGAUGAUCCAGAUAAUUAUGCUGACAAUGCAAUCACCAUUGACCCCAAUGAGAUUCCCACAGAGAUACGCUUCAGUUCAAGGUUAGAAUACUUUAAUAAUAAAGGGGAUGUGUUAUAUUUUCUGUUUAGUAGCUUGAGCACUUGGCAGUCAGUGUUUUAUGUAAAUGUAAUACAAUAAAAUAAUCAGUAUCAAGUAGAAUUGUGCUUGUAGAUGAGGGGAUCCCUUUUAUGAUUGUUUUUCUUUCAAGGGGAGCAUGGUAAAGGAAUAAGCAUUUGUCACACUAUUAUAGCUGAUUUUCAUGUGCAAAUCUAGUUGAUGUCAA